AUAAAUGGAAUUGAAAAUAUCAGUUCUGAAUACAAUGACAUUUAAUUUAGUUACCAAUUGUUUAUUUUCUGAUAAAAAGUAAUGUAAUUGGUAAAAUUCUAUUUGUUUUUAUAUAGCAUGGUGUGGCUACGUGAAUUUGGCAAUAUAUCGAAGCGACCGCAGCCUAUGGACAUUGCCUACAUAAAUCGACACAAGAUUGUAUGAUGGAUAAAUGAAUCUUCCCAAAUGAAUUACGCAAAAACAAGGACACAACUGAGGUUUCUAAGGAAUUUAUAAACUAGGAAUCUUAAAAGAAGAUGCUAAUAUAAAUCUCAAAGCAACCAAUUUACAUUGGCAAAUUGAGUUCCACCCCGUCCCCGCCCGCGCUCCUGUCCCCUGCCCCUGGCCCUGCGCGACUUGCCGACAAGUAGCAAUUGGCGUAAUUAACAAGCGCCACUUGACAAUUUGCUGCGGCCGACGAUCUCAGUAAAGCGGUGAUAUAAUAUUCAUAGAGGACGGCCAGGACGCCUUGUCUCGGCCCGCAGUAACCGCUGUGCUCCUCGCCUCGCCACACACACGGCACAGCUUCUACGAGUACUGCAUAUUGCCAACGAAUUCAUAUUCCCCACCUUAAAGUUGAUACUAAAAAAUUAGACUGUCAAUUACACCUUUCAACAUCUCUUUGUCGUGACAGACUGGAAUGUUGCUAGUAGUUUUGGAUGUUGCGCAAAGUAUUUAAUGUCAGGCAGUACAAAAAUGUUGUAUGUACAUUUUGUUACUGUCGGAU
This is a long non-coding RNA of Papilio polytes (common Mormon), 766 nucleotides long. RefSeq lists it as uncharacterized. The transcript is spliced from 3 exons. Lineage: Eukaryota; Metazoa; Arthropoda; Insecta; Lepidoptera; Papilionidae. The record is from RefSeq and is a predicted model, not a curated record.